RNAcentral lists this ribosomal RNA (349 nucleotides) under uncultured soil bacterium. RNAcentral describes it as "bacterial SSU rRNA". It matches the Rfam family "Bacterial small subunit ribosomal RNA", at positions 26 to 377 of the family's 1533-position model. The record is from RNAcentral.
AGAUUGAACGCUGGCGGCAUGCCUUACACAUGCAAGUCGAACGACAGCACGGGGGCAACCCUGGUGGCGAGUGGCGAACGGGUGAGUAAUGCAUCGGAACGUGCCCAGUAGUGGGGGAUAACUAGUCGAAAGAUUAGCUAAUACCGCAUACGACCUAUGGGUGAAAGCGGGGGAUCCGCAAGAACCUCGCGCUAUCGGAGCGGCCGAUGUCUGAUUAGCUAGUUGGCGGGUAAAAGCCCACCAAGGCUUCGAUCAGUAGCUGGUCUGAGAGGACGACCAGCCACACUGGGACUGAGACACGGCCCAGACUCCUACGGGAGGCAGCAGUGGGAAUUUUGGACAAGUGGGC